UGGCUGCUGCCGCCUGGGUGGUGAGUCAGCACCAGGAUCCUGCCAGCUAUUCCCACAGGUCUUUCUCCAAAGCCUCCUUCCCCAGUCUCUCCUCAGGCGUCUCCAGCCCACUCUGCCCCAGCCUUUGCCAGAGACCAGGUUUACAGAGUACUCUCAAUUCAGACACCAGCCAAGCGCAGAGUUUGGUAAACUCAGGGGAAGUGGCUCCAGCAGAGACUGCCUGAGACAGAGCGCCAUCUUCUAACAAUGGACCCUUGUAACUGUUUAUUUUCUAGAUUCUACUUACAAGUGAAAUCAUAUGGUACUUGUCUUUUUCUGACUGGCUUAUUUCACUUGGCAUAAUGGUCUCCAGGUCCAUCCAAGCUAUCGCAAAGGGGAGAGAGCGAGCAAGAGAGAGAGAAACAAUUGAUAUGUGAAAAAAUGAUUGAUUGCCUCACACAUACUCCCAAUCAGGGACCUGGCCUGCAACCUGGGCUUGUGCCCUGACCAGGAAUCAAACUGGUGACAUUUUGGUUUGCAGGCUGGCACUCAACCCCCUGAGCCACACCAACCAGGGACAUUUCCAAUUUUUUGAGCUAACUCCAUACUGCUUUCCACAGCAGCUGCACCAAUCUGCAUUCCCUCCAAAAGCUCAUGAGGGCUCCCUUUUCUCCACAUCUUUGCCAACAGUUGUCGUUUGUUGAUUUAUUGAUGAUAGCCAUUCUGACAGGUAUGAGGUGAUACCUCAUUGUGGUUUUAAUUUGCAUUUCCCUGAUGAUUAAUGACAUUGAGCACCUUUUCCUUAUGUCUAUUGGCCAUGUGCAUGUCCCCUUUGGCGAAGUGUUUAUUAGGGUAAUUUUGAUAAUGGCAAUGAAGUAGGUAUAAAAGAAUAUAAGUUUUGUCAUUUACCAAAGAACAGUUUCUAAGGCUUGAUUAAACAUCUAAA
Long non-coding RNA from Pteronotus mesoamericanus, 925 nucleotides. RefSeq lists it as uncharacterized. The transcript has 4 exons. The record is from RefSeq and is a predicted model, not a curated record. NCBI's taxonomy places the organism in Eukaryota, Metazoa, Chordata, Mammalia, Chiroptera, Mormoopidae.